Molecule: unclassified non-coding RNA, 804 nt
Filed under: Stagonosporopsis valerianellae
Lineage: Eukaryota; Fungi; Ascomycota; Dothideomycetes; Pleosporales; Didymellaceae
Description: sequence contains ITS1, 5.8S rRNA gene, ITS2, 28S rRNA gene
Rfam family: Eukaryotic large subunit ribosomal RNA (bases 434-804)
Source: RNAcentral
CCAUCUCUUACCCAUGUCUUUUGAGUACCUUCGUUUCCUCGGUGGGUUCGCCCGCCGAUUGGACAACACUUAAACCCUUUGUAAUUGAAAUCAGCGUCUGAAAAAACUUAAUAGUUACAACUUUCAACAACGGAUCUCUUGGUUCUGGCAUCGAUGAAGAACGCAGCGAAAUGCGAUAAGUAGUGUGAAUUGCAGAAUUCAGUGAAUCAUCGAAUCUUUGAACGCACAUUGCGCCCCUUGGUAUUCCAUGGGGCAUGCCUGUUCGAGCGUCAUUUGUACCUUCAAGCUCUGCUUGGUGUUGGGUGUUUGUCUCGCCUCUGCGCGCAGACUCGCCUCAAAACGAUUGGCAGCCGGCGUAUUGAUUUCGGAGCGCAGUACAUCUCGCGCUUUGCAACCAUAACGACGACGUCCAAAAAGUACAUUUUUACACUCUUGACCUCGGAUCAGGUAGGGAUACCCGCUGAACUUAAGCAUAUCAAUAAGCGGAGGAAAAGAAACCAACAGGGAUUGCCCUAGUAACGGCGAGUGAAGCGGCAACAGCUCAAAUUUGAAAUCUGGCGUCUUUGGCGUCCGAGUUGUAAUUUGCAGAGGGCGCUUUGGCAUUGGCAGCGGUCCAAGUUCCUUGGAACAGGACGUCACAGAGGGUGAGAAUCCCGUACGUGGUCGCUAGCCUUUACCGUGUAAAGCCCCUUCGACGAGUCGAGUUGUUUGGGAAUGCAGCUCUAAAUGGGAGGUAAAUUUCUUCUAAAGCUAAAUACUGGCCAGAGACCGAUAGCGCACAAGUAGAGUGAUCGAAAGAUGAAA